Molecule: long non-coding RNA, 5643 nt
Organism: Oncorhynchus kisutch (coho salmon)
Lineage: Eukaryota; Metazoa; Chordata; Actinopteri; Salmoniformes; Salmonidae
Source: Ensembl
AUGCAUUAUAGAAUGAGUUUCAACAACAUAAAGCAGUUUCAUACGUACAGUAGAUAUAUAGGCAGUAACAAUAUAAAUCAUGUAAUUAUGUAUAGAAUGUGUUUAUGGUCCAUCAAUAUCCUACUAUACAUCAGACAGUUACUAUACAUCAUACAGUUACUAUACAUCAGACAGUUACUAUACAUCAGACAGUACAGUUACUAUACAUCAGACAGUUACUAUACAUCAGACAGUUACUAUACAUCAUACAGUUACUAUACAUCAGACAGUUACUAUACAUCAUACAGUUACUAUACAUCAGACAGUUACUAUACAUCAUACAGUUACUAUACAUCAUACAGUUACUAUACAUCAUACAGUUACUAUACAUCAUACAGUUACUAUACAUCAGACAGUUACUAUACAUCAUACAGUUACUAUACAUCAGACAGUUACUAUACAUCAGACAGUUACUAUACAUCAGACAGUUACUAUACAUCAUACAGUUACUAUACAUCAGACAGUUACUAUACAUCAUACAGUUACUAUACAUCAUACAGUUACUAUACAUCAUACAGUUACUAUACAUCAUACAGUUACUAUACAUCAGACAGUUACUAUACAUCAUACAGUUACUAUACAUCAGACAGUUACUAUACAUCAGACAGUUACUAUACAUCAGACAGUUACUAUACAUCAGACAGUUACUAUACAUCAGACAGUUACUAUACAUCAUACAGUUACUAUACAUCAUACAGUUACUAUACAUCAGACAGUUACUAUACAUCAUACAGUUACUAUACAUCAGACAGUACAGUUACUAUACAUCAGACAGUACAGUUACUAUACAUCAGACAGUUACUAUACAUCAGACAGUACAGUUACUAUACAUCAGACAGUUACUAUACAUCAGACAGUACAGUUACUAUACAUCAGACAGUUACUAUACAUCAGACAGUACAGUUACUAUACAUCAGACAGUUACUAUACAUCAGACAGUUACUAUACAUCAGACAGUACAGUUACUAUACAUCAGACAGUACAGUUACUAUACAUCAGACAGUUACUAUACAUCAGACAGUUACUAUACAUCAGACAGUACAGUUACUAUACAUCAGACAGUACAGUUACUAUACAUCAGACAGUUACUAUACAUCAGACAGUACAGUUACUAUACAUCAGACAGUACAGUUACUAUACAUCAGACAGUUACUAUACAUCAGACAGUUACUAUACAUCAGACAGUUACUAUACAUCAGACAGUUACUAUACAUCAGACAGUUACUAUACAUCAGACAGUUACUAUACAUCAGACAGUUACUAUACAUCAGACAGUUACUAUACAUCAGACAGUUACUAUACAUCAGACAGUUACUAUACAUCAGACAGUACAGUUACUAUACAUCAGACAGUACAGUUACUAUACAUCAGACAGUACAGUUACUAUACAUCAGACAGUACAGUUACUAUACAUCAGACAGUACAGUUACUAUACAUCAGACAGUUACUAUACAUCAGACAGUACAGUUACUAUACAUCAGACAGUUACUAUACAUCAGACAGUUACUAUACAUCAGACAGUUACUAUACAUCAGACAGUUACUAUACAUCAGACAGUUACUAUACAUCAGACAGUUACUAUACAUCAGACAGUUACUAUACAUCAGACAGUUACUAUACAUCAUACAGUUACUAUACAUCAGACAGUUACUAUACAUCAUACAGUUACUAUACAUCAGACAGUACAGUUACUAUACAUCAGACAGUUACUAUACAUCAUACAGUUACUAUACAUCAGACAGUUACUAUACAUCAUACAGUUACUAUACAUCAGCCAGUUACUAUACAUCAGACAGUUACUAUACAUCAGACAGUUACUAUACAUCAGACAGUUACUAUACAUCAUACAGUUACUAUACAUCAGACAGUACAGUUACUAUACAUCAGACAGUACAGUUACUAUACAUCAGACAGUACAGUUACUAUACAUCAGACAGUACAGUUACUAUACAUCAUACAGUUACUAUACAUCAGACAGUACAGUUACUAUACAUCAGACAGUACAGUUACUAUACAUCAGACAGUACAGUUAUAAUACAUCAGACAGUACAGUUACUAUACAUCAGACAGUUACUAUACAUCAGACAGUACAGUUACUAUACAUCAGACAGUACAGUUACUAUACAUCAGACAGUACAGUUACUAUACAUCAGACAGUACACUUACUAUACAUCAGACAGUACAGUUACUAUACAUCAUACAGUUACUAUACAUCAUACAGUUACUAUACAUCAGACAGUUACUAUACAUCAGACAGUUACUAUACAUCAGACAGUACAGUUACUAUACAUCAGACAGUACAGUUACUAUACAUCAGACAGUUACUAUACAUCAGACAGUACAGUUACUAUACAUCAGACAGUUACUAUACAUCAGACAGUACAGUUACUAUACAUCAGACAGUUACUAUACAUCAUACAGUUACUAUACAUCAGACAGUACAGUUACUAUACAUCAGACAGUACAGUUACUAUACAUCAGACAGUUACUAUACAUCAGACAGUACAGUUACUAUACAUCAGACAGUUACUAUACAUCAUACAGUUACUAUACAUCAGACAGUUACUAUACAUCAGACAGUACAGUUACUAUACAUCAGACAGUUACUAUACAUCAGACAGUACAGUUACUAUACAUCAUACAGUUACUAUACAUCAGACAGUUACUAUACAUCAGACAGUACAGUUACUAUACAUCAGACAGUACAGUUACUAUACAUCAGACAGUUACUGUACAUCAGACAGUACAGUUACUAUACAUCAGACAGUUACUAUACAUCAGACAGUUACUAUACAUCAGACAGUACAGUUGCUAUACAUCAUACAGUACAGUUACUAUACAUCAUACAGUACAGUUACUAUACAUCAGACAGUACAGUUACUAUACAUCAGACAGUUACUAUACAUCAGACAGUUACUAUACAUCAGACAGUUACUAUACAUCAUACAGUUACUAUACAUCAUACAGUUAAUAUACAUCAGACAGUUACUGUACAUCAGACAGUUACUAUACAUCAUACAGUUACUAUACAUCAUACAGUUACUAUACAUCAGACAGUACAGUUACUAUACAUCAGACAGUACAGUUACUAUACAUCAGACAGUUACUAUACAUCAGACAGUUACUGUACAUCAGACAGUACAGUUACUAUACAUCAGACAGUUACUAUACAUCAAACAGUUACUAUACAUCAGACAGUACAGUUGCUAUACAUCAUACAGUACAGUUACUAUACAUCAGACAGUACAGUUACUAUACAUCAUACAGUACAGUUACUAUACAUCAGACAGUGCAGUUACUAUACAUCAGACAGUUACUAUACAUCAGACAGUUACUAUACAUCAGACAGUACAGUUGCUAUACAUCAUACAGUACAGUUACUAUACAUCAUACAGUACAGUUACUAUACAUCAUACAGUACAGUUACUAUACAUCAUACAGUACAGUUACUAUACAUCAGACAGUACAGUUGCUAUACAUCAUACAGUACAGUUACUAUACAUCAGACAGUACAGUUACUAUACAUCAUACAGUACAGUUACUAUACAUCAGACAGUACAGUUACUAUACAUCAGACAGUUACUAUACAUCAGACAGUUACUAUACAUCAGACAGUACAGUUGCUAUACAUCAUACAGUACAGUUACUAUACAUCAUACAGUACAGUUACUAUACAUCAUACAGUUCAGUUACUAUACAUCAUACAGUUACUAUACAUCAUACAGUUACUAUACAUCAGACAGUUACUAUACAUCAGACAGUACAGUUACUAUACAUCAGACAGUUACUAUACAUCAGACAGUACAGUUACUAUACAUCAGACAGUUACUAUACAUCAGACAGUACAGUUACUAUACAUCAGACAGUACAGUUACUAUACAUCAGACAGUGCAGUUACUAUACAUCAUACAGUACAGUUACUAUACAUCAGACAGUGCAGUUACUAUACAUCAGACAGUUACUAUACAUCAUACAGUUACUAUACAUCAGACAGUUACUAUACAUCAGGCAGUUACUAUACAUCAGACAGUUACUAUACAUCAUACAGUUACUAUACAUCAGACAGUACAGUUACUAUACAUCAGACAGUUACUAUACAUCAGACAGUACAGUUACUAUACAUCAGACAGUACAGUUACUAUACAUCAUACAGUUACUAUACAUCAGACAGUUACUAUACAUCAGACAGUUACUAUACAUCAGACAGUUACUAUACAUCAUACAGUUACUAUACAUCAGACAGUACAGUUACUAUACAUCAGACAGUUACUAUACAUCAGACAGUUACUAUACAUCAGACAGUUACUAUACAUCAGACAGUUACUAUACAUCAUACAGUUACUAUACAUCAGACAGUUACUAUACAUCAGACAGUUGCUAUACAUCAGACAGUUACUAUACAUCAGACAGUUACUAUACAUCAUACAGUUACUAUACAUCAUACAGUUACUAUACAUCAGACAGUUACUAUACAUCAUACAGUUACUAUACAUCAGACAGUACAGUUACUAUACAUCAUACAGUUACUAUACAUCAGACAGUUACUAUACAUCAUACAGUACAGUUACUAUACAUCAGACAGUUACUAUACAUCAGACAGUUACUAUACAUCAGACAGUACAGUUACUAUACAUCAUACAGUUACUAUACAUCAUACAGUUACUAUACAUCAGACAGUACAGUUACUAUACAUCAGACAGUACAGUUACUAUACAUCAUACAGUUACUAUACAUCAUACAGUUACUAUACAUCAGACAGUUACUAUACAUCAGACAGUACAGUUACUAUACAUCAGACAGUACAGUUACUAUACAUCAGACAGUACAGUUACUAUACAUCAUACAGUUACUAUACAUCAUACAGUUACUAUACAUCAGACAGUACAGUUACUAUACAUCAGACAGUUACUAUACAUCAGACAGUUACUAUACAUCAGACAGUUACUAUACAUCAUACAGUACAGUUACUAUACAUCAGACAGUUACUAUACAUCAGACAGUUACUAUACAUCAGACAGUACAGUUACUAUACAUCAUACAGUUACUAUACAUCAGACAGUUACUAUACAUCAGACAGUUACUAUACAUCAGACAGUUACUAUACAUCAUACAGUACAGUUACUAUACAUCAUACAGUUACUAUACAUCAUACAGUACAGUUACUAUACAUCAGACAGUUACUAUACAUCAGACAGUUACUAUACAUCAGACAGUUACUGUACAUCAGGCAGUUACUAUAUAUCAGUCAGUUGCUGUACAUCAGACAGUUACUGUACAUCAGGCAGUUACUAUAUAUCAGUCAGUUGCUGUACAUCAGACAGUACAGUUACUAUACAUCAGACAGUACAGUUACUAUACAUCAUACAGUUACUAUACAUCAUACAGUUACUAUACAUCAUACAGUGCAGUAGCUAUACAUCAGACAGUAGGGAGACUAUACAUCAGACAGUACAGUUACUCUACAUCAGACAGUACAGUUACUAUACAGCAGACAGUACAGUUACUAUACAUCAGACAGUAGGGAGACUAUAUGUGUACAUUUUGCUGUAUAUUGUAGUACAUUGUUGUCAUUUGGGAAUAGAGAAUUCUACAGAGGGCAAUUGA